This 901-nucleotide ribosomal RNA is filed under the name Chaetomella cinnamomea. RNAcentral's name for it is "LSU rRNA". It matches the Rfam family "Eukaryotic large subunit ribosomal RNA", at positions 36 to 964 of the family's 3401-position model. Lineage: Eukaryota; Fungi; Ascomycota; Leotiomycetes; Chaetomellales; Chaetomellaceae. The record is from RNAcentral.
UAGCAUAUCAAUAAGCGGAGGAAAAGAAACCAACAGGGAUUGCCUCAGUAACGGCGAGUGAAGCGGCAACAGCUCAAAUUUGAAACCUGCCAACCGGCCGGAUUGUAAUUUGCAGAGGAUGCUUUGGGAAAGGUACUGAUCUAAGUUUCUUGGAACAGAACGUCACAGAGGGUGAGAAUCCCGUCCGUGGUCGGCCGCCUGCCCCGUGUAAAGCUCCUUCGACGAGUCGAGUUGUUUGGGAAUGCAGCUCUAAAUGGGUGGUAAAUUUCAUCUAAAGCUAAAUAUUGGCCAGAGACCGAUAGCGCACAAGUAGAGUGAUCGAAAGAUGAAAAGCACUUUGGAAAGAGAGUUAAACAGCACGUGAAAUUGUUGAAAGGGAAGCGCUUGCAAUCAGACUUGGGCGCGGGUACUCAGGGACGGUUCGCCGUUCUGUAUUUGCCCGCGCACAGGCCAGCAUCAGUUUUGGGGGUGGGAUAAAGGCCGUAGGAAUGUGGCUCUUCGGAGUGUUAUAGCCUACGGUGCCAUGCCACCUCCCGGGACUGAGGACCGCGCUUCGGCUAGGAUGCUGGCGUAAUGAUUGUAAGCGACCCGUCUUGAAACACGGACCAAGGAGUCUAACAUCUAUGCGAGUGUUUGGGUGUCAAACCCACACGCGGAAUGAAAGUGAACGGAGGUGAGAGCCCUUGAGGGUGCAUCAUCGACCGAUCCUGAUGUCUUCGGAUGGAUUUGAGUAUGAGCAUAGCUGUUGGGACCCGAAAGAUGGUGAACUAUGCCUGAAUAGGGUGAAGCCAGAGGAAACUCUGGUGGAGGCUCGCAGCGGUUCUGACGUGCAAAUCGAUCGUCAAAUUUGGGUAUAGGGGCGAAAGACUAAUCGAACCAUCUAGUAGCUGGUUCCUGCCGA